AGUUCUUGGGUGCAUGGGUGAUACUUUUGAUCUGUCAAAGUUUCUCAGAAGGGUUCUAUAUAUUCAUAAGCAGAGUAACCAGUGAAAGAGAAGAGACCCCAAGGAUGACUGUCAGCGCACCAACAGUGAUUACAGGUUUUCAUUGGACCCUGUGGUUUGCAUUACUGUUUGCAAAGUUGGGGAAGAUGAACCAGUGGAAGACGGCUGGGUGCCUUCCCUCUACAAGAUGGGCACCUUGCUAACUCUCUGAGAUGCUACGUUGGUUGACUUUGACAUUUCCCUGCCUUAUUGUACUGAAGCAUAUGCAGCUGCAACUCUGAGUCCUACAAUCAUCUAUGGCAUACUGUUAAAACUAUUUUGAAAUGCUUGAACCUACAAAUGUAUCCUCUUUACAAUGACAAUAUUCUAUAAUUUUGUGUUAGCCUUCCUUUAUGUUUGCUUGGAAUUUGGAAACAUUUUAGAAAAAAAAUUAUCUUGGUCAGCAUAUCACAAACAUUGAAU
This 501-nucleotide long non-coding RNA is filed under the name Capra hircus (goat). RNAcentral's name for it is "lncRNA (ENSCHIG00000006013.1)". Lineage: Eukaryota; Metazoa; Chordata; Mammalia; Artiodactyla; Bovidae. The record is from RNAcentral.